AACCGUGGUAAUUCUAGAGCUAAUACAUGCUAAAAACCUCGACUUCGGAAGGGGUGUAUUUAUUAGAUAAAAAACCAAUGCCCUCUGGGCUCCGUGGUGAUUCAUAAUAACUCAACGAAUCGCAUGGCCUUGCGCCGGCGAUGGUUCAUUCAAAUUUCUGCCCUAUCAACUUUCGAUGGUAGGAUAGUGGCCUACCAUGGUCUCAACGGGUAACGGGGAAUUAGGGUUCUAUUCCGGAGAGGGAGCCUGAGAAACGGCUACCACAUCCAAGGAAGGCAGCAGGCGCGCAAAUUACCCAAUCCCAAUUCGGGGAGGUAGUGACAAUAAAUACUGAUACGGGGCUCUUUCGGGUCUCGUAAUCGGAAUGAGUACAAUCUAAAUCCCUUAACGAGGAACAAUUGGAGGGCAAGUCUGGUGCCAGCAGCCGCGGUAAUUCCAGCUCCAAUAGCGUAUAUUAAAGUUGUUGCCGUUAAAAAGCUCGUAGUUGAACCUUGGACCUGGCUGAUCUGUCCUCCUAAUCGAGCGCACGGAUUCGGUCGGGUCUUUCCUUCUGGGGAACCCGAUGCCCUUCACUGGGUGUCGUGGGGAACCAGGACUUUUACCUUGAAAAAAUUAGAGUGUUCAAAGCAGGCCUUUGCUCGAAUACAUUAGCAUGGAAUAAUAGAAUAGGACAUCGGUUCUAUUUUGUUGGUUUCUAGGACCGCUGUAAUGAUUAAUAGGGAUAGUCGGGGGCGUCAGUAUUCAAUUGUCAGAGGUGAAAUUCUUGGAUUUAUUGAAGACUAACUACUGCGAAAGCAUUCGCCAAGGAUGUUUUCAUUAAUCAGUGAACGAAAGUUAGGGGAUCGAAGACGAUCAGAUACCGUCGUAGUCUUAACCAUAAACUAUGCCGACUAGGGAUCGGACGGUGGUUUUUUUAUGCCCCGUUCGGCACCUUACGAGAA
Molecule: ribosomal RNA, 941 nt
Filed under: Thysanorea cantrelliae
Lineage: Eukaryota; Fungi; Ascomycota; Eurotiomycetes; Chaetothyriales; Herpotrichiellaceae
Description: SSU rRNA
Rfam family: Eukaryotic small subunit ribosomal RNA
Source: RNAcentral